This is a long non-coding RNA of Podarcis raffonei (Aeolian wall lizard), 276 nucleotides long. RefSeq lists it as uncharacterized. The record is from RefSeq and is a predicted model, not a curated record. NCBI's taxonomy places the organism in Eukaryota, Metazoa, Chordata, Lepidosauria, Squamata, Lacertidae. The transcript has 2 exons.
CCCACAGAUGCCGGUGUGCCUGCCAGUACUGUCUAAGGUGACUAUGAAAUGUCUCAGUCAAUAUCCCUUCAGAAAUCCACAAUACACAAGAAACAUGGAAAACUUUAGUGUCUGUCAUCCCCAUACUUUCAAAAUCACAAGGCUUCGAAUCAGUACUUAGUCAGAGGUAAGAACGUGAUACAAGAUUGAUGCUUAUGAUUCAGAGGAAGACUUUUCUUGGAGACCUCCCAAGAAACUAUCCACGCUUAUGCCCACAUAAAAACUGAUCUACAAAAA